UGGUUACUCAUCCGUGAUGUGGGACUCUGAACUCUUCCCAGCUGAUAUGAGGAACACGCUCCACCACCUUGUUAGCCUCUUUGAAGCAGUCCCGAGGGUUCCCCUAGGCUCCGUGUCUUAGAUCAUGAUCCUAGAGCAUCUCCUCUGUUCUUAUGAAUAAUGAGAAACAGCAGAAGAAUCAGGGCCGCCACCUUCCCUGUCCUCAGAAUAAUGAUGCACCGUACGCCAGCUGUCCACACCAAGCAGAGCAUGUGGAUUAGCUGAGUCAGAGCGAUGCAGGAGGGCUUCCAUAGCAGACUGUGGGCUUGGCUGACUUUGAUCUAUUCUGGACACUAUGCUGACUCAGCGCUGAUGAUGGAAGGCCGCAGAUGAAAAGCCUGGGAGACCAAAUAUUCAUACAGGAGGCUCAAGAGUCCCAGUGGUCCCCACAGCCUCAUGGGAAGGACUGGGAGGAAUGAGAGUUGGUGUGGACCCUGGCAUCAGUUACGGGAGUCUGGCACUGGAGGACCUGGCUAGACAGCAGUUCCUGGGAAGCUGGUGUGGGACUGCUAGGUGGUCCCAAGUUUAAUUUGAGCCAGACACACAGGGCUGGCAAGGAACACAAGACCCUGGUCUGCAGGAGAUGCCUGUGGGCUCUGAGGACGGGAGAGCAGAAAGCGGCUUUAAAUGAGCUAGGCAGAGCACAUUUGGAAGAUGGAUGUCAGUUGUGGAGACUGUUCUUGGUGGGGAUACUUCCAGUGCUUCAGGGGCUAAGGAGGAAGUGCAUGGAGGGACUGCCCUGGGAAACCAUGGCAUCAUGAGGAAUGCUAGAGGACCCAGGGAUGGUUCCCAGGAAAAGAGAUGACCACAAGGAAGAAAGGGACUAUUAUGGAUUUCUUCCCGCGUAAUCCAGAUGUCUAGGUAAUUAGGAGCACUUGCUGUUCUUGCAGAGGACCAGAGUUCAGUUCCUAUCACAACAGCCUGUAACUCCAGCUCCAGGGGAUCUGGUGCCUUCCUCUGGUCCCUUUGGGUUCCAGCACACAUGUGUGUAUACACACAGAGAGACAUGCAUGCAACACAUAAACAAAUAUUAAUUAUUGGAUAUCUCAGGGAGUAGGAGAGAAUCUCUUAGCACAUUUGAAGGCAUGGUGGUGGAUGGUGCUCACCACUGAGUAUUGCUUCAAGAAGCAGGGGUGCAGCUGAAUGGCAAUGGGUAGCUAAGAAGCCUUGGCCUUUGGAAACAUUUGAGAUUAAUGGACAUGAGAACCUGGACAUCUUUCCUUGCAACCCUAGACUCUGCUUUGUGACAGAGCAGAGGAAGAACAAGAAAAAAAGAAAAGAAAUUGCCAAAUUGCCAGAAACAGUAUUUUUAAAUAUCGAGCAAUCAUUAUCUCGAAGCUCUAGAGGUCAGAGUGGGUCUCACGGGGCUGCACUCAGGCUUGGGGCUGGUUUCUAUUGGACAUCAGGGGAGAGUCCUCCUCACUGCCAUUCCUGGCCCUAGACGUCUUUGGCUGUCUCUUUGUCUGGCCCCAUCUCCCACCUUACCUCUGUGUGCAAGGCUGCAGAUCUCUGACUGUUUCCCCUGGAGCUGUGGGGGCAUUCACUGGGGACCUGGGAUCAUAGCGUCCUCCUUGUGGUGUUAUAAUUGAAUAGGAGACUGGGUGACUUACAAAAAACAAAUGUAUUUGACUCAUGGAGCUGGAGGCUGGGAAGUCCAAGGGCAUGGUAUAGCUCAUGAGGAGGGUCUUCCCACUGUACCCUCCCAUGGAGAAGGAGAAAGGGGCAGCAGGGGUGUGAGAAAAGCAAGACACAGCUCACUUUUUUAAAAAAGUUGCCGGAUAAUAGUGGUGCACACCUUUAAUCCCAGUCCAUGUGAGACAGAGACAGGCGGAUCUCUGUGAGUUUGAGGCCAGCUUGGUCUACAGAGUGAGUUCCAGGACAGGCUCCAAAGCUACACAGAGAAACCCUGUCUUGAAAAACCAAGAAAAAAAGUUUUAGGCUGGAUGUCGUGGUGCAUGCCUUUAAAACUAGCUCUAGUGAGGCUGUGGCAGGUGGAUCUCUGAGUUUGAGGCCAGCCUGGUCUACAUGGCCAGGGGCCAGAGACCUCACAAUGUACAGAACAGCCACUGCAGCAAAGAACGACGGGACGUGGAGUGCUCCUGGCAUAGAGCAGAGAUGCUGCACUCUCUCUGCCUAGAGAUGCAGGUGUGCGCACACAGGAGCCCACAAGCACUUCCGCUCUGCCGAUGGUGGGGGCACAGGCUUCCACAUCUCAUCCUUUCCAUGUGCCUGCCCAUGGAGACGGCUUUGCGUCGCGCGCAUGAGCGGAGCAUCUCCAGCCUCCAGACGCCGUUCUCUGGGCUUGGAUCACUGACUGGCUCAUUCUUCGGCUGAUGGACACUCAGGUCGUUUCUAGCUUCUGCACACAAGGUCCCAGGACAAUGCUUGUCCACAGCUUGGAGAACCCAUGGCGGACAGCUGGUGUGUCUGUCUGCUAACUCCUUCUAGUAGACUAGCUAGGUCAAAGUGGACAAGAGUUCAGGAUGCUCGCAGGUGUUGCCAAAGGCCUUCUGAAGAUACUCAUCGCGCACUCCCAUCUCCCACCAGCCUGUCAACAGGAUGCUUCUGUUCUAUUUGAAAACAAGGGUAAUUCAUAAGCGUUCAUUUUCCAGAAAACAGAAAUUGGGAUAAAGACCCCCGAGUGUCCAGUGUCAGAGGUGUUCUCUGUAAUCAGAGGGACAGAGACAAACCAACGUACAAUGUGUGUCUUGGAGUUGGCCUAGCACAGCCUCAAGGAUUCUUUGAGUUUUCAUGCAGGCCUGGGGGACGUCCAGUCUUCUUCCUCCUCCAAUUCUUCUCCUCUUAGGCAUUUACUCUUCCUUCUUGCCCUCCUCCUCCUACUUCCUCAUAGGGUUUGUACAGCCCCAAACUGACCUUGAACUGACUGGGCAGUUGAGCGUGACCUUGAACUUUUGAUCCUCCUGUCUCUGCUUUCCAAAAGUUGUGUAUUGGCUAGCUUUAUGUCAAUUUGACACAAGCUAGAGUUGUCCGAAAGGGGCGAACUUCAACUGAGAAAAUGCCUCCAUGAGAUCCAGCUGCAGGGCACUUUUUUUGUAAUCAGUAGGGGAGUACCCAGUCCAUUGUGGGUGGGGCCAUCCCCGGGCUGGUGGUCCUGGGUUCUAUAAGAGAGCAGGCUGAGCAAGCCAGGGGAAGCAAGCCAGUAAGCAGCACCCCUCCACCGCCUCUGUGUCAGCUCCUGCCUCCUGGUUCCUGUCUUGCUUGAGUUCCUGUCCUGACUUCUUUUGAUGAUGAGCAGUGAUACAGAAGUGUAAGUCAAAUAAGUUCUUUCCUCUCUAAGUUGCUUUGGUCAUGGUGUUUCAAUUAAAGCAAUAGGAACCCUAACUAAGUCGAGUUGGAUCACCAAUUCUAUUUUUAAAAAACCUUUUCUUUUUAAAUGCUUUAGCUCCCAUUUUAAAAUACUAGUAAUAAAUCCUGUAUUAUUUUAUUUGGUGUUGUAGC
Molecule: long non-coding RNA, 3498 nt
Filed under: Cricetulus griseus (Chinese hamster)
Lineage: Eukaryota; Metazoa; Chordata; Mammalia; Rodentia; Cricetidae
Description: lncRNA (ENSCGRG00015017488.2)
Source: RNAcentral